CAUAUUCAACAAUACAUACAAAGUUUUCAAUCCCAUAAAUUUACAUUGUUUGAUCCAACAAGGUGUAGAGAGCAAAUAUGGCAUCCGUUUGCAAAGUUGGUUUCUUCACCAUCCUUGUGUGUGGUAUUUUUCUAUUGGGAAGCAAUGUGGAACUAGCAACUGCUCAGACAGUUUGUCUAACGGUUUGUGAACCUGAAGCAGCCUAUAUGAUCUGCCCACCAAACAUAAAGACUGAACCAGUCUGCAGCAAUUGUUGUACCCUUGAGAACACUGGUUGCCAGCUCUACCGUUCCAAUGAUUCCCCCAUUUGCACUUAAACCAAAUAAUCUCUACCAUAUAAUAAUGUCUCAAUCAUCAUAUAUACAUGGAAUAAGAUUAUUGUAAUAAGACUUUGAAAUAAUUACGCAUGGAGGUGAUGAGGCUAUUAGUAUAUAGCUAGUCUAUUGCCUUCCUUGUAAGACAAGUAGUUGUAGUUAUUGUUGUGAUGUUCCAACCCCACCUUCGUAGUGUGGUUUUGUUAUUGUUAUUGAAAAGAAAACAUUGGUUUUAUA
Ipomoea nil (Japanese morning glory) is the source of this 551-nucleotide long non-coding RNA. RefSeq lists it as uncharacterized. The record is from RefSeq and is a predicted model, not a curated record. The transcript is spliced from 2 exons. Lineage: Eukaryota; Viridiplantae; Streptophyta; Magnoliopsida; Solanales; Convolvulaceae.